UAUGACCUACGGGACGCAGCAGUGGGGAAUAUUGCACAAUGGGGGAAACCCUGAUGCAGCGACGCCGCGUGAGUGAAGAAGUAUCUCGGUACGUAAAGCUCUAUCAGCAGGGAAGAAAAAUGACGGUACCUGAGUAAGAAGCACCGGCUAAAUACGUGCCAGCAGCCGCGGUAAUACGUAUGGUGCAAGCGUUAUCCGGAUUUACUGGGUGUAAAGGGAGCGCAGGCGGUGCGGCAAGUCUGAUGUGAAAGCCCGGGGCUCAACCCCGGGACUGCAUUGGAAACUACCGAACUAGAGUGUCGGAG
This 305-nucleotide ribosomal RNA is filed under the name uncultured bacterium. RNAcentral describes it as "bacterial SSU rRNA". It matches the Rfam family "Bacterial small subunit ribosomal RNA", at positions 333 to 654 of the family's 1533-position model. The record is from RNAcentral.